This 251-nucleotide ribosomal RNA is filed under the name uncultured bacterium. RNAcentral's name for it is "partial 16S ribosomal RNA". It matches the Rfam family "Bacterial small subunit ribosomal RNA", at positions 525 to 775 of the family's 1533-position model. The record is from RNAcentral.
ACGUAGGGGGCAAGCGUUAUCCGGAUUUACUGGGUGUAAAGGGAGCGUAGACGGCAAGGCAAGUCUGAAGUGAAAGCCCGGUGCUUAACGCCGGGAUUGCUUUGGAAACUGUUUGGCUGGAGUGCCGGAGAGGUAAGCGGAAUUCCUAGUGUAGCGGUGAAAUGCGUAGAUAUUAGGAAGAACACCAGUGGCGAAGGCGGCUUACUGGACGGUAACUGACGUUGAGGCUCGAAAGCGUGGGGAGCAAACAG